CGCGGUAAUUCCAGCUCCAAUAGCGUAUAUUAAAGUUGUUGUGGUUAAAAAGCUCGUAGUUGGAUCUCAACAGCCUUGAAGCGGUUAACUUUGUAGUUUUACUGCUUUAUAGGCUGUGCUUUUGCUGGAGGUUUAGGGGUGCUCUUGAUCGAGUGUCUCUGGAUGCCAGCAGGUUUACUUUGAAAAAAUUAGAGUGCUCAAAGCAGGCUAAAAUGCCUGAAUAUUCGUGCAUGGAAUAAUAGAAUAGGAUGUCGAUCCUAUUUUGUUGGUUUUCGGGACUCGACAUAAUGAUAAAUAGGGACAGUCGGGGGCAUUUGUAUUCAAACGACAGAGGUGAAAUUCUUGGACCGUUUGAAGACAAACUACUGCGAAAGCAUUUGCCAAGAAUGUUUUCAUUAAUCAAGAACGAAAGUUAGGGGUUCGAAGGCGAUUAGAUACCGCCCUAGUUCUAACCAUAAACGAUGCCAGCUAGCGAUCUGCCUGCGUUUUUACUGUAGACUGGGCAGGAAGCUUCCGGGAAACCAAAGCAUUUGGGUUCCAGGGGAAGUAUGGUUGCAAAGCUGAAACUUAAAGGAAUUGACGGAAGGGCACCACCAGGAGUGGAGCCUGUGGCUUAAUUUGACUCAACACGGGAAAUCUCACCAGGCCCGGACACUGGAAGGAUUGACAGAUUGAUAGCUCUUUCUUGAUUCGGUGGGUGGUGGUGCAUGGCCGUUCUUAGUUGGUGGAGUGAUUUGUCUGGUUAAUUCCGAUAACGAACGAGACUCUGUCCUGCUAAAUAGUUUCUACUUCUCUUUUGAGUAGAAAUUUCUUCUUAGAGGGACUGGUGACUCUUAGUCACACGAGAUUGAGCAAUAACAGGUCUGUGAUG
Molecule: ribosomal RNA, 871 nt
Filed under: uncultured eukaryote
Lineage: Eukaryota
Description: SSU rRNA
Rfam family: Eukaryotic small subunit ribosomal RNA
Source: RNAcentral